Non-coding RNA from Trichonephila inaurata madagascariensis, 74 nucleotides. NCBI's taxonomy places the organism in Eukaryota, Metazoa, Arthropoda, Arachnida, Araneae, Nephilidae. The record is from the annotation of a GenBank genome assembly.
GUCCCUGUAGCGCAAUGGAUAGCGCGUUGGAAUACUAAUCUCAAGGAUCAUGGGUUCGAAUCCCACCUGGGAUG